This 440-nucleotide ribosomal RNA is filed under the name uncultured bacterium. RNAcentral describes it as "partial 16S ribosomal RNA". It matches the Rfam family "Bacterial small subunit ribosomal RNA", at positions 338 to 795 of the family's 1533-position model. The record is from RNAcentral.
CCUACGGGUGGCAGCAGUGGGGGAUAUUGCACAAUGGGGGAAACCCUGAUGCAGCGACGCCGCGUGUAGGAAGACGGUCCUCUGGAUUGUAAACUACUGUCCCCAGGGACGAAGAUGACGGUACCUGGGGAGGAAGCUCCGGCAAACUACGUGCCAGCAGCCGCGGUAAUACGUAGGGAGCGAGCGUUGUCCGGAUUUACUGGGUGUAAAGGGAGCGUAGGCGGGGAUGCAAGUUGGGUGUUAAAUCUACCGGCUCAACUGGUAGUCGCACUCAAAACUGCAGCGCUUGAGUGAAGUAGAGGCAGGCGGAAUGCAUAGUGUAGCGGUGAAAUGCGUAGAUAUUAGGAGGAACACCAGUGGCGAAGGCGGCCUGCUGGGCUUUUACUGACGCUGAGGCUCGAAAGUGUGGGGAGCAAACAGGAUUAGAUACCCUAGUAGUC